This 440-nucleotide ribosomal RNA is filed under the name uncultured bacterium. RNAcentral's name for it is "partial 16S ribosomal RNA". It matches the Rfam family "Bacterial small subunit ribosomal RNA", at positions 338 to 795 of the family's 1533-position model. The record is from RNAcentral.
CCUACGGGAGGCUGCAGUGGGGAAUAUUGCACAAUGGGGGAAACCCUGAUGCAGCGACGCCGCGUGAGUGAAGAAGUAUUUCGGUAUGUAAAGCUCUAUCCUCAGUGAAGAAAAUGACGGUACCUGAUUAAGAAGUCCCGGCUAACUACGUGCCAGCAGCCGCGGUAAUACAUAGGGGGCAAGCGUUUGCCGGAGUUACUGGGUGUAAAGGGAGCGUAGACGGCAGCACAAAUCUGGAGUGAACUGCAUGGGCUUAAGCCCGGAACUGCUUUUGAAACUGUGCAGCUAGAGUGAAGGAGAGGUAAGUGGAAUGCGUAGUGUAGCGGUGAAAUGCGUAGAUAUUAGGAGGAACACCAGUGGCGAAGGCGGCUUACUGGACUGUAACUGACGUUGAGGCUCGAAAGCGUGGGGAGCAAACAGGAUUAGAUACCCCAGUAGUC